AAUGUACUCCUAUUGAGUUUCACAGAUUUUGCCCUGAGCUCAAAAAGAUGAACUCCCGUGGUUGCUGCUUCUCUUUGGUUAUUGUGUGUGCCUGUCUAACUUUGGUUGCUGGUCUUGAACUCGGAAAAAUGAAAUUGUCGAGAAGAGAUAGCAAUGCGGGUGCUGAUAACCCCUCGACCUGCCCUGAUGAGGACUUCGACGUGGCAACCCUGACGUGCAGGGGCGCAGCACCAGCGCAGGAUCGCCAAGUCCUCACUCCAACAGGCCCAGCGCCACAUCAUAAGGACAAAGAUCAUCACGGUAAAAAGAAGAAGAAAUCACGCUAAAGAGGAAGGAAAAAGGGAAAUAUGACCUGAGAAUCUCUCGAAAUCUUAGAAAUUAUACCUUCAUCCCCUUUGUCUGUUAAGGCUGCAAUACUACCGUGCAAAGGAAGAACGCCGCAUAGUGGAUCGAGUCAAUUAGAGAGGUCGGACAUGAAAUUUUUGACUAAAACUGCAAAUUCAGAGGUUUAUUUUGUUACUUUUUAAAUUACAAGGGGUGUUUUUGAGAGAAAAUUUUACGAGAAAACCAAUGAUACCACUCUUAGAACCUCAAAGGUUUGUAUAAAAGGAGUUAUAAGCGUUUAAAGUUUCCAAAUUUUGUCCGACCUCUCCUAUUGCAGACUUGAUCCACAGUGCGCCGUAUAAACAUUCGAGCAUUGCCAAAUUUCCCGGAUACAACAUGUAUUUUUAACAAAACUUAUGCGUAAUUUUCCUAAUAUUUUAGAUU
RNAcentral lists this long non-coding RNA (768 nucleotides) under Bemisia tabaci. Its description in RNAcentral is "lncRNA ENSASIAIIG012482". The record is from RNAcentral. Lineage: Eukaryota; Metazoa; Arthropoda; Insecta; Hemiptera; Aleyrodidae.